GUAAUGUCUGGGAAACUGCCUGAUGGAGGGGGAUAACUACUGGAAACGGUGGCUAAUACCGCAUAACGUCGCAAGACCAAAGAGGGGGACCUUCGGGCCUCUUGCCAUCAGAUGUGCCCAGAUGGGAUUAGCUUGUUGGUGAGGUAACGGCUCACCAAGGCGACGAUCCCUAGCUGGUCUGAGAGGAUGACCAGCCACACUGGAACUGAGACACGGUCCAGACUCCUACGGGAGGCAGCAGUGGGGAAUAUUGCACAAUGGGCGCAAGCCUGAUGCAGCCAUGCCGCGUGUAUGAAGAAGGCCUUCGGGUUGUAAAGUACUUUCAGCGGGGAGGAAGGUGUUGUGGUUAAUAACCGCAGCAAUUGACGUUACCCGCAGAAGAAGCACCGGCUAACUCCGUGCCAGCAGCCGCGGUAAUACGGAGGGUGCAAGCGUUAAUCGGAAUUAC
This 448-nucleotide ribosomal RNA is filed under the name Salmonella enterica. RNAcentral describes it as "bacterial SSU rRNA". It matches the Rfam family "Bacterial small subunit ribosomal RNA", at positions 110 to 554 of the family's 1533-position model. Lineage: Bacteria; Pseudomonadati; Pseudomonadota; Gammaproteobacteria; Enterobacterales; Enterobacteriaceae. The record is from RNAcentral.